CCGUCAAUUCCUUUGAGUUUUAGCCUUGCGGCCGUAGUCCUCAGGCGGCACACUUAACGCGUUAGCUUGGGCCCUGGUGGGGUCGAAUCCGCCAAGACCUAGUGUGCACCGUUUAGGGCGUGGACUACAGGGGUAUCUAAUCCCUUUUGCUCCCCACGCUUUCGUGCCUGAGCGUCAGCAAUUGUCCAGGUAGCCGCCUUCGCCUCUGGUAUUCCUCACGAUAUCUACGCAUUUCACUGCUACACCGUGAAUUCUGCUACCCUCUCCAAUGCUCUAGCCAUGUAGUUUGAGGUGCAAUUCCGGGGUUAAGCCCCGGGCUUUCACACCUCACACACACGGCCGCCUGCGCACCCUUUACGCCCAAUCAUUCCGGAUAACGCUUGCAUCCUCUGUCUUACCG
RNAcentral lists this unclassified non-coding RNA (400 nucleotides) under uncultured fungus. RNAcentral describes it as "sequence contains ITS1". Lineage: Eukaryota; Fungi. The record is from RNAcentral.